Molecule: ribosomal RNA, 635 nt
Filed under: uncultured Marinobacter sp.
Lineage: Bacteria; Pseudomonadati; Pseudomonadota; Gammaproteobacteria; Pseudomonadales; Marinobacteraceae
Description: bacterial SSU rRNA
Rfam family: Bacterial small subunit ribosomal RNA
Source: RNAcentral
CGCCUGGGGAGUGCGGCCGCAAGGUUAAAACUCAAAUGAAUUGACGGGGGCCCGCACAAGCGGUGGAGCAUGUGGUUUAAUUCGACGCAACGCGAAGAACCUUACCUGGCCUUGACAUCCAGAGAGCUUUCCAGAGAUGGAUUGGUGCCUUCGGGAACUCUGAGACAGGUGCUGCAUGGCCGUCGUCAGCUCGUGUCGUGAGAUGUUGGGUUAAGUCCCGUAACGAGCGCAACCCCUAUCCCUGGUUGCUAGCAGGUAAUGCUGAGAACUCCAGGGAGACUGCCGGUGACAAACCGGAGGGAGGUGGGGAUGACGUCAGGUCAUCAUGGCCCUUACGGCCAGGGCUACACACGUGCUACAAUGGCGCGUACAGAGGGCUGCCAACUCGCGAGAGUGAGCCAAUCCCUUAAAACGCGUCGUAGUCCGGAUCGGAGUCUGCAACUCGACUCCGUGAAGUCGGAAUCGCUAGUAAUCGCGAAUCAGAAUGUCGCGGUGAAUACGUUCCCGGGCCUUGUACACACCGCCCGUCACACCAUGGGAGUGGAUUGCACCAGAAGUAGUUAGUCUAACCUUCGGGAGGACGAUUACCACGGUGUGGUUCAUGACUGGGGUGAAGUCGUAACAAGGUAACCGUA